UACGUAGGGACCAAGCGUUGUCCGGAAUCAUUGGGCGUAAAGCGCACGUAGGCGGUUCGUUAUGUCGGAUGUGAAAGCCCUUGGCUUAACCGAGGAAGUGCAUCCGAAACUGGCGAGCUAGAGUACGAAAGAGGAUCGCGGAAUUCCCGGUGUAGAGGUGAAAUUCGUAGAUAUCGGGAGGAACACCGGUGGCGAAGGCGGCGAUCUGGGUCGAUACUGACGCUGAGGUGCGAAAGCGUGGGGAGCAAACAGG
RNAcentral lists this ribosomal RNA (253 nucleotides) under uncultured bacterium. Its description in RNAcentral is "partial 16S ribosomal RNA". It matches the Rfam family "Bacterial small subunit ribosomal RNA", at positions 524 to 776 of the family's 1533-position model. The record is from RNAcentral.